ACAUGAAGAAAACUUUAGUCCUUUAGAUUCUUAGCUAGAAAAGUGUUGUUCCACAAAAGUUUUAACAAUUACCCCACAAAUCCCUUAGAUUCUUGUUCAUUCUUUGGUCCUUUUUCUUCUCUUAUGCAAAUAGGAUUCUAAUUUCCACUUCCUCACUCCAAACCAUUUGCACAAUUGAACUCAUUUUCCAUCUAUUAAUUCUUUCAUAUACCGUGAAAGGCAUCCGCAUGCAAAAAGAAGACUCAUUGUUCUUCGGCUUAUUGAGCUUUUUCAAAUCUAAAAGAGCUAGGAAAGGAUAUCUUUAUGGGCAUGGUACCAGUUUGGAGGAGGUGUUAAGCACAAGUAAGCUGCGGCCAAGCGGUGAAGACAAAGGAUCUAUGGACAAAAUAAGAAGUUAGCAAAUCGUAGAGUCUCUCGCGAGAAUAGGCGAGAAGACCAAAUCGCAAUGCAAGAAGUAGUUGGCUAGACGACAAGAAUGGUAGUUGGAGACGAUGUGACAUGCCACAAAUACCUUUCAGCAUACAGUGCCAAAAUGUUCAGAAGAACAGAAGUUUUUGCCUCAAAAGCUGCCUAUAAAAAGUCUCAUUUACCAGAGUGGAGAUGACCUGUAUGGGCCAUGGUAGAGGCCUGUAUGGACCAUGCAUGGUAGAGGUCUAAAUGGACCACAAAGAAACCUAUAUGUCAAAACCUAAAGAGAGAGACGGGAAGGAAUGACCUUUUUUCCGCUUGUAAAGACCAUUCCCUUCUUCUCUGAUCAGUUUAUAGAGUGAGAGCUUAACUUUCAAGAGGAGAAGAUUUCAUACUUUCCAUUUUUCCUAACUUGUAAUAUUUUUCAUCUUCUUUGUCUUCCACUUUUGUAUUUCUCUGUAAUAUAUGUGUUUAUAUUAUGCAAUGGAUGAAGGCCUACAUUCUUCAAUAUAUUGCGUUAUAAUACCUUUUCAAUC
Long non-coding RNA from Cucumis sativus (cucumber), 944 nucleotides. RefSeq lists it as uncharacterized. The record is from RefSeq and is a predicted model, not a curated record. Lineage: Eukaryota; Viridiplantae; Streptophyta; Magnoliopsida; Cucurbitales; Cucurbitaceae. The transcript is spliced from 2 exons.